AAUCCGUCGACUUUAAAAAUCGUGAGA
Molecule: transfer RNA, 27 nt
Filed under: Cornutia pyramidata
Lineage: Eukaryota; Viridiplantae; Streptophyta; Magnoliopsida; Lamiales; Lamiaceae
Description: partial tRNA-Leu
Source: RNAcentral